UAUAUUUGCACCCGCUAUUCAUAUGAGUUGAGUGGCUACAUAAAAAUUAUUUAAUCAAAUAUUGGCAUG
This 69-nucleotide non-coding RNA is filed under the name unclassified sequences. RNAcentral describes it as "S15-Flavobacteria ribosomal protein leader". It matches the Rfam family "S15-Flavobacteria ribosomal protein leader". The record is from RNAcentral.